Molecule: ribosomal RNA, 253 nt
Filed under: uncultured bacterium
Lineage: Bacteria
Description: partial 16S ribosomal RNA
Rfam family: Bacterial small subunit ribosomal RNA
Source: RNAcentral
UACGAAGGGGGCUAGCGUUGUUCGGAAUCACUGGGCGUAAAGAGCAUGUAGGCUGGUAGAAAAGUUGGAAGUGAAAUCCUGUGGCUUAACCAUAGAACUGCUUCCAAAACUGCUUACCUAGAAUAUGGGAGAGGUAGAUGGAAUUUCUGGUGUAGGGGUAAAAUCCGUAGAGAUCAGAAGGAAUACCGAUUGCGAAGGCGAUCUACUGGAACAUUAUUGACGCUGAGAUGCGAAAGCGUGGGGAGCAAACAGG